This 390-nucleotide unclassified non-coding RNA is filed under the name fungal sp. RNAcentral describes it as "partial internal transcribed spacer region". The stretch from base 1 to 46 matches the Rfam family "Eukaryotic small subunit ribosomal RNA", at positions 1786 to 1831 of the family's 1831-position model. Lineage: Eukaryota; Fungi. The record is from RNAcentral.
AAGUCGUAACAAGGUUUCCGUAGGUGAACCUGCGGAAGGAUCAUUAACACGUAUCCAACGUUAAAAACCCCGUGCACCUUAAUCCUGCUCUCCUCACCUUGAUAAGCAAUCUCUGGUAAAUCACGCAACAGUUUGAUUCAGAGACCUCUUUGAAACGUGUGGAUUGAGCGGUAGAGCAAAUAGAUCUGGCUUCUGAAGCACCCAAAACGAGUGAAAGUGCGUAUUGAGUGUGGAAGAUAACUGAUACUUACUCAGAUCGUUGACCCUCACGGUCAACGGGCAGGUCUCUGGGGCUUCGGCUCCCCAUAUUAAACCCGUAUGUGAAAGUCGGGCUUGCAAACAACAGGCCCACAAAACGAACAACUGUUAACAAUGGAUAUCUUGGUUCUC